AAACCAACACCAAUAUGAUGAGAACAUUGUUUCAAGAACCGGUAUUUUUAGGAAGAGCCGGAAGAGGUAUGGCAGGAUAUGUAUAUAAAUGCAAUCCUUGUCGUCGAUGCUUAGAAAGGUUCUGCUGAAUGGUGUUUUUGG
Molecule: small nucleolar RNA, 141 nt
Filed under: Aspergillus rambellii
Lineage: Eukaryota; Fungi; Ascomycota; Eurotiomycetes; Eurotiales; Aspergillaceae
Description: A. fumigatus snoRNA Afu_198
Rfam family: A. fumigatus snoRNA Afu_198
Source: Rfam by way of RNAcentral